RNAcentral lists this long non-coding RNA (1512 nucleotides) under Struthio camelus australis. Its description in RNAcentral is "lncRNA (ENSSCUG00000009017.1)". The record is from RNAcentral. Lineage: Eukaryota; Metazoa; Chordata; Aves; Struthioniformes; Struthionidae.
CAAAAGGAGAAAACGGCAUUCCUCACAUGUGCGGGCUUCAACAGAUACAGGUCUGAUUGGAGACUGGAGCAUGUAAGAGGACUGUCAUCAGUGGUCCAGAAUCUCUUGGCUACUCCCAACUGGCAGCUUGACCUCCUACUGUAUUGGAAAAAAGAGUGCAGAAACCUAUUUUGAUGCUUCUUCCAGCAACCUAUGAACUUAACACCAGGUUUAAACAAAAAGGAAUGCAAACCAGCUUGACAAUUAGCAAGGCUGCUCUGAUACAACAAAUAUGUUGCAAGCCUGAAGACAGUGCCAGCCAGUGAGGAAGAAGAGAACCUGCCUAUGGAGCCGCAAGAGCAAGCUACAACCCACCAGUCUCCUUAUUAGACACCUAGGAGUUGUCUUCUCUGUCCUUACAGCAGGAACUUUUGAUGAGAAACUGGUCAGACAUUCGAGAGUGGCGGAAAGCCUGUCAAGGUCACUGCCAAGGACAAGGGAGUCAAUUAGUAUGCAGAUCAGAGCCAAGGAGUUCAAAGGUAUUGUUCCAAUUCAAUCACAUUAGCCAGGCCAGUAAUGAACAAACGGCAUGACCUUAAUCAGGGAGCCCGAACCACUCACUGGCGGAAAGCAUGUGUGCCUGUGUAUGAUGGCAGAUUAAAUCCACGGCAGGAAACAGUGAUAAUGCCCAGUGUAGAGCCCUGUGAGCUACGACAGCUAAGUUUCCCAUGUGCUUUUUCUUUCAAUUAUCUGAAAACACCCUGUUAAUUUUUAAUGUAUUUGUACCCUCAUUCUGUUACCAAAAUUGCUACCUUUCCCCUCUUCUUACUUCAGAAAUAGAUUUCACUAAACCUGGCUGCUGUAAACUCAUUAUACAAUUCUAUCAUUUAUUCUGUCCAUUAGAGUAACCAGUGUUAGUGCUUUUCCCCCCACUUGAGUCUGUCAAGUACUGUUAUUUAUGCUCAAUGGUAUUAAUAUCUCUGGCUGUAUUACGGCUGUGCACUCAAAAUUGCUAAAUACAAUCUAAACUUGGCAAUAGCGACUGCAUCAGCUAUCAAUAAUCAAAAAGUAUCAUGCAACUUGUAAGUAUUAGUAAGAGCCAAUAAUUGCAUAAAUAUGAUUAACCUCUUCUGUUUACCAUAAGGAAUCACUAGUAAUGCUGAUGGUUUAAAAAUAUCCCCUUUCUCAGAAUCAGAUAGUGUGCCUGUAUUACGAACAAGAGAAUUAGAGAUUUGACAGUAUGUUUUGAAUGUUUCUUAUUUUCAGCUACCCUUAGCAAUGACUCUGCUGUAACGUGAGUAUAUAAUGUUAUCCAUAGUCUUCAGAGAAAAAAGAGCUUAAAAGUUGAUUUUUCUUUCAUUGUUUGCUUCUGUGGGUUAAUUGUGCCAACAAAAGGAUAUUCUGCUUUUCGGUAACAAGGAAAUUUGUUAGGUAAUUUGUGACCACAGAAUUGGAGCAAUACAGCUAAACUAAUAUAUAUGCAAUGGCUUCAUUAUGCAUAAGAGGAGGCACUCUUUGCUUUGCAGCCCAAAA